Molecule: microRNA precursor, 61 nt
Filed under: Medicago truncatula (barrel medic)
Lineage: Eukaryota; Viridiplantae; Streptophyta; Magnoliopsida; Fabales; Fabaceae
Description: MIR2629 microRNA precursor family
Rfam family: MIR2629 microRNA precursor family
Source: Rfam by way of RNAcentral
GUUUGAAGUUUCCUCGGUAGUUAACUACCGAUGUUUUCCUCGGUAGUUAACUGCAGAGGGG